UUUCCGUAGGUGAACCUGCGGAAGGAUCAUUAGUGAUAUUGAAAAUCUAUUUUCAAGUCUCUAUAUAUACCCUUUUGUCAACCAUACCUUUGUUGCUUCCACCGGACAGACAUUCAUUUUAUGGAUGUCCUUUGGCAUGCUUGCAUGCUGGGGAGCGCCGGUGGAAAGACCUACAAAUUAAACUUGUCUUUAGAAACACUUGUCUGACAACUUUAUUCUUUAAUAAGAUAAAACUUUCAACAACGGAUCUCUAGGCUCUU
RNAcentral lists this unclassified non-coding RNA (260 nucleotides) under soil metagenome. RNAcentral describes it as "partial contains small subunit ribosomal RNA, internal transcribed spacer 1, and 5.8S ribosomal RNA". The record is from RNAcentral.